ACAAAGAAUCGAAACAAAUUAUAAUGUUUUCUGAUAAUUACUUCAUGGGUUAUUACUCAUAAUCAGAUUUUCAUGUGUUGUAAAUGUUCUCAUUACUGACAAACAAAAGAUAAAAAAAUAUGCGACAACACUUUUUGACUGCCUGGACGACUUAGCUGCUGUGGGCGUAUGUUUCGUUGCCUGGCAAAAUAUCUUCCGAUUUUGAUGAAACUUAAAAUAAUUGUUUAUAUCCCAAAGAUCUGGCUUAUUUUCAAUAUUUGCGCUUAUCCGACCCUAACUUUCUGGAUUAUGGCCCCUGAUUGUACGAAAAAUCACUUUUGUUUAGCUCAUGGCAGAAUGUGAGCGUAUCUUGCAUGGCAACCACUUGUUUUGAAAAAAAAUGCCGAAUUAUAAACUAUAAACCACCUGCCUGGCAUGGGGCCACGGCCCGUCCUCGGUCUGCUGAGGCUCUAGUCACCGUCAGGGUAUCCGGUCCCCCUUCCGUUUGAAUCCAGUACCGCUGAAAUACACGUCCACAUUCCUGCUUUGAUUGAUAUGGUAUUUUUGUAAAACAGGCCAACAGUGAGGCUGAUGUCCCCGCCGCAAUCCAAAAAUAAAUAGAUGACACAUAUUAAUAAAUAGCACAUUUAUUUUUAUCAACUAUACAUCACUCUCUAUCAGAUAGAAUCAAAGUUAUCUUGUCCCAAAGCAUCUCAGACGAGACAUUCACCUAAUGAACAUCUACAUCAAGUUUUAACAUUCUACCUCAAUUAAAAGCAGAGUUGUUAUGUUCCAAAGUCUUGACCAAUUAAAUUGCUUAUCGCUCCAAAGCCUAAGCAGAAAAUUCUCAUCAUGGAACUUAAUGAUAUAAUGAAUCCAUACUCGGAGUUUCAUUAUUGUGUUCCAAAGCAUCAACAAAUCAGAUUGCUUAUCUCUGCUUACCGUAAGCAAACAAUGUUUAUCAUCGAACUUCAUCAAGGCAUUCACCUAAUGAACGCCCACACCAAGUUUGAAAAUUCUACCUCAAUUAGAAGGACAGUUAUUGUGUUCCAAUGUCCCGACCAAUCAAAUUAUUGAUGUGAUAAAACUCUACACAAAGUGUACACACUCUCACUUAAUUACUUUGGGACUAAAUAAUGCUUAAAUUUUAUUUCCAUAUUCUUGGUCUCAUUGCCCAGGGCUUGAACUUGUAGCAAGGGAGGGGGGUGGAUGGCUGAAUGGUUAGCGUGCGCGCGCUGUAUCACAAAGUCUGUCAUUGAGUCGACUGGCGUGGUUUCGAAUCCUCGGUUGUACGUGGCAAGGAGUAGGGUCGCCUGUCCAACCUCGUAGGUUUUCUCCGGGGCCUCCGGUUUCCUCCCACUGCUAAAGACCCCUACGCGCAAGCGAAUUAUGUAAAUAGAAUUAAACCAUAUGUUAGUCCCGAAAUUACCUAGUUUGUGUCGAGUGGACGUUAAACCCCAUUUCUCUCUCUCUCUCUCUCUGUAGCAAGGGAAGGGAAUACGUCCGUUGGUUGAGCGCGGUGGACUCGUAAUCGUACCACUUGUUUGGCAUUUGGUUACUUCCAAAUCCCUCGGUUAUAAUAAGUUAGGGUCGGGUUCAUUUCAUAGUAUUAAAUAUUAUUCAACUUGUAAGCAAAACGGAUAAAAUAUAUAAACUCUUAACACUUAAAUAAGAUACAUUAGUUAAGAGUUUUAUAAAGAGUUGGCCAUUCUUUCUAUAAUAAUUCAAAAAUAGAUGAUAAAAAAAGAAAAUGUUGAAAAUUUCAGUCAAAUUACUUUGUUCUGAAUGGAAUUAUCACUGUUAGAAGUUUGGACUAAAAAUAGGCAUCACGUGUAUCUUCACCGUCUAUGAGAAUUGGCGAUCGUUUGAUUGACAAACAAUAACUCCACCCACAUAUUCUCGAUUAUCAAGUAACAUACUCAAUGGCUAUAGAAGCCUCGCUUGGCAGGCUUUUCAUCACCAGUUUCCGGUUGUGACAUCAGCGAGUAACGGUGAACGUUAGCUUGGCCCGCCAUUUAUUGAUUUAAUUUUAAAUGGACGAGGCAUUUUAAAUCCAAACUGUAUCCAAGCCAUCCGUGGGUCUACAGGGUUGAUUUUAAGCUUGUCGUGUAAAUAAAGGUCUAAUUAAUAAUUUAUAUAACAUCUGAAGCCUCAAUAAAGACUUGCAAUAGGCAUAUUUAGCUCUUUCAUAAUGUAUGUUUAACUAAUUAUAUAGUAUGGGGAUUAGCUGUAUUUGAAUAUAGAUAAAAACAUAUUUAUGGGGAGUUUCCUAUAAGUUGAGUUAUAGUAAAAUUAUAGCGUCAUACAUAAUGAGAACAUUAAAAUGGUAUAUGCAUUAGCUGUGUCUGUAAAAGGUUUUAGGUAGGGGUGUUUUGGACAGAUACACAUUGCAGUUAGUGUCUGAGAUGUGGGAUAUAUAAAUUUGUGUAUGAAACAUUAGUUGCAGUGCUAAUAUACGAAAGUGAAAUAGUAUAAGAAGAUGCCUAUGGUUGCAGCAACUUAUAGUGAUAGUAGCACAGUAAAUAUUUUCAUAUUAGGGGAGAAAGUGAAAAAUAAAACUUCAAACAUGACGAAAACUUGCCUUAUGGAGAGUAAUAAAGCAGUGAAGACUGAAGCUUUAGAGAGUAAACAUUAUUUUUGUUUUCUUUUUGUAUAGAAUUGCUAUAUAAGAUCUUUUGAAAUAUUGGAGAAUAGAGGGUGUGUCCGGUUAGAGUCUAACAGGUAUAGACAAGGAGGGACAUUGAUAGAGAGUUGUCCAGACUUUAGAGAAGUCAAUAUGAGGGUAACCGUAGUGGGAUGGCUUACCAACAGAAAGGAUUUCAGCUUUAUCAUGAUUUAACUCGAGAAGAGUGCUGUAUGAAGAUAGUCUAGAUAUUAUUGCAGAACAGUCAUCUGCGUGUUGAAAAAGGUUAAUCUCUGAUGGGUAGUUGGGGAUUCUGAUGCCUUUUAUGAGGAUGUUUCUGUUUAUGUAUGAGGCAAGGGGGUUGAUACAUAAGGAAUAAAGGAUCAUGGAUAAUGGACAUCCUUGACGAAUCGAUCGGUUAAUUUUAAUAUUUGGGGUAAAGGAUCCAUUUACUUGGACUUUACUAAUCAAGUUUUUAAACAACAUUGUAACCCAGUUUAGGAUGUAAUUUGGGAAAUUUAUAUGUUUUAGUAGAUUCUUAAUAUAGUUGUGUUCAAUGCGAUCCAGGGAUUUUUCUUGGUCAAAUGAUAGUAUAUAUUCACUGGACUCAUUUGUAUUUAUAUAAUGUAGGAUUGUAUCUAUUGAAUAUAGGUUAUCAAAAAUGCCUUUAUUUGGUCCGUCACGAGUCUGUGUAUUAGAGAUUAAUUUGAUUAUAACUGUAUUGAUUCUUGUGCUUAAAAUUUUUGUGAUGAUUUUAUAGUCGACACAUAACAGGCUUAUCGGUCUAUAGUUCUUAAGUCGUUCGUUCGUUUCUGGGGUUUUACGU
Molecule: long non-coding RNA, 3428 nt
Organism: Patella vulgata (common limpet)
Lineage: Eukaryota; Metazoa; Mollusca; Gastropoda; Patellidae
Exons: 3
Source: RefSeq, a predicted model, not a curated record